AACGGAGGGUGCCAGCGUUAUUCACCAUGACUGGGCGUAAAGGGCAUCUAGACAGCGGAAAUAAGUUUUGAAUAAAAGAGUGAAUUAAAAUUCUAGCAAUUCAUUCGUACUGAAGAAAAGCUUGAGUGCAAUAAAGGGUUGGAGAACUUUCAAUAGAGUAGUGAUAUGCAGGGAAAUAAGAUAAGGACGGGCAAUUGGCAAAGGCACUAACCCGGCUUGUUCUGACGUUAAAGUGCUAAAGCUAGGGUAGCAAUCGGG
RNAcentral lists this ribosomal RNA (258 nucleotides) under uncultured bacterium. Its description in RNAcentral is "partial 16S ribosomal RNA". It matches the Rfam family "Bacterial small subunit ribosomal RNA", at positions 524 to 776 of the family's 1533-position model. The record is from RNAcentral.